RNAcentral lists this ribosomal RNA (740 nucleotides) under uncultured bacterium. RNAcentral's name for it is "bacterial SSU rRNA". It matches the Rfam family "Bacterial small subunit ribosomal RNA", at positions 1 to 718 of the family's 1533-position model. The record is from RNAcentral.
GCCGAUCGCCUUGAGUUGAUCAUGGCUCGAAUCAACGCUGGCGGCGUGCCUAACACAUGCAAGUCGAACGCGAAAGUCCCGCAAGGGAUGAGUAGAGUGGCAAACGGGUGAGUAACGCGUGGGUGACCUGCCUUCGAGCGGGGGAUAACGUUCCGAAAGGGACGCUAAUACCGCAUAACAUCCUGCCUUUUAAGAGGUGGAGAUCAAAGCCGGGGAUCGCAAGACCUGGCACUCGAAGAGGGGCCCGCGUCCGAUUAGCUAGUUGGUGAGGUAACGGCUCACCAAGGCAACGAUCGGUAGCCGGCCUGAGAGGGCGGACGGCCACACUGGGACUGAGACACGGCCCAGACUCCUACGGGAGGCAGCAGUGGGGAAUUGUUCGCAAUGGGCGCAAGCCUGACGACGCAACGCCGCGUGGAGGAUGAAGAUCUUCGGGUCGUAAACUCCUUUCGAUCGAGACGAAUUCCUCCGGGGUGAACAAUCCUGGAGGUUGACGGUACCGAGAGAAGAAGCCCCGGCUAACUCCGUGCCAGCAGCCGCGGUAAUACGGGGGGGGCAAGCGUUGUUCGGAAUUACUGGGCGUAAAGGGCUCGUAGGCGGCCAACUAAGUCAGACGUGAAAUCCCUCGGCUCAACCGGGGAAUUGCGUCUGAUACUGGAUGGCUUGAGUUUGGGAGAGGGAUGCGGAAUUCCAGGUGUAGCGGUGAAAUGCGUAGAUAUCUGGAGGAACACCGGUGGCGA